AGCUCUGUGCAGUAGCAGUAUCGUAGUCAAUGAGGUUUAUCCGAGGCACGAUUAUUGCUAAUAAUUGAAAACUUUUCCCAAUACCCUGCUGUGACAACUUGCAACAUAGUUGGCAUUGGCAAUUUUUUACAGUCUCUAUGGAGA
Molecule: small nuclear RNA, 144 nt
Filed under: Cebus imitator (Panamanian white-faced capuchin)
Lineage: Eukaryota; Metazoa; Chordata; Mammalia; Primates; Cebidae
Description: U4 spliceosomal RNA (ENSCCAG00000001672.1)
Rfam family: U4 spliceosomal RNA
About the family: U4 small nuclear RNA (U4 snRNA) is a component of the major U2-dependent spliceosome. The structure of U4 snRNA from yeast and human has been reported.
Source: Rfam by way of RNAcentral